RNAcentral lists this ribosomal RNA (183 nucleotides) under Jacquemontia serpyllifolia. Its description in RNAcentral is "5.8S ribosomal RNA". The stretch from base 1 to 154 matches the Rfam family "5.8S ribosomal RNA", at positions 20 to 154 of the family's 154-position model. Rfam says of the family: 5.8S ribosomal RNA (5.8S rRNA) is a component of the large subunit of the eukaryotic ribosome. It is transcribed by RNA polymerase I as part of the 45S precursor that also contains 18S and 28S rRNA. The record is from RNAcentral. Lineage: Eukaryota; Viridiplantae; Streptophyta; Magnoliopsida; Solanales; Convolvulaceae.
CUCGGCUCUCGCAUCGAUGAAGAACGUAGCGAAAUGCGAUACUUGGUGUGAAUUGCAGAAUCCCGUGUUCCAUCAAUUCCCGUGAACCAUCGAGUCUUUGAACGCAAGUUGCGCCCGAAGCCGUCAGGCCGAGGGCACGUCUGCCUGGGCGUCACGCAUCGCGUCGCCCCCCUUCCCGCGACC